RNAcentral lists this ribosomal RNA (468 nucleotides) under uncultured bacterium. RNAcentral's name for it is "partial 16S ribosomal RNA". It matches the Rfam family "Bacterial small subunit ribosomal RNA", at positions 28 to 507 of the family's 1533-position model. The record is from RNAcentral.
GACGAACGCUGGCGGCGUGCUUAACACAUGCAAGUCGAACGGAAAGGCCCUGCUUUUGUGGGGUGCUCGAGUGGCGAACGGGUGAGUAACACGUGAGUAACCUGCCCCUGACUUUGGGAUAACUUCAGGAAACUGGGGCUAAUACCGGAUAGGAGCUCCUGCUGCAUGGUGGGGGUUGGAAAGUUUCGGCGGUUGGGGAUGGACUCGCGGCUUAUCAGCUUGUUGGUGGGGUAGUGGCUUACCAAGGCUUUGACGGGUAGCCGGCCUGAGAGGGUGACCGGCCACAUUGGGACUGAGAUACGGCCCAGACUCCUACGGGAGGCAGCAGUGGGGAAUAUUGCACAAUGGGCGGAAGCCUGAUGCAGCAACGCCGCGUGCGGGAUGACGGCCUUCGGGUUGUAAACCGCCUUCGCCUGUGACGAAGCGUGAGUGACGGUAAUGGGUAAAGAAGCACCGGCUAACUACGUG